This is a long non-coding RNA of Dermacentor silvarum, 303 nucleotides long. RefSeq lists it as uncharacterized. NCBI's taxonomy places the organism in Eukaryota, Metazoa, Arthropoda, Arachnida, Ixodida, Ixodidae. The record is from RefSeq and is a predicted model, not a curated record. The transcript is spliced from 3 exons.
GGUAGAUAUAAAACACCGACAUAUGUUAUGCGGUGGCACUUUCUCAGUACAGAAGAACGACCAUGAUAUGCAUUGCAGUUGCAAGUGUAUUCUUUGUGCAAGCUCUAGAAGCAUUUGCGGAGGCCGAUAGUCGCUGCCCAGGACCAGCUCCGGAUCCGGGUACUCCGGUUGACCACUGUAACUACUGGUGUGAAGGGGAAAACUUUGAGUGGAAGAAAGCGUAUUAUGUUAACGGAACACAAUGCAAAGUGAGUACACUGUUUCAUACGGUAAAGAUGUUUACAGGCAUUUAUACAUUGCAAU